Molecule: transfer RNA, 76 nt
Filed under: Sporomusa ovata DSM 2662
Lineage: Bacteria; Bacillati; Bacillota; Negativicutes; Selenomonadales; Sporomusaceae
Description: tRNA-Val
Rfam family: tRNA
About the family: Transfer RNA (tRNA) molecules are approximately 80 nucleotides in length. Their secondary structure includes four short double-helical elements and three loops (D, anti-codon, and T loops). Further hydrogen bonds mediate the characteristic L-shaped molecular structure. tRNAs have two regions of fundamental functional importance: the anti-codon, which is responsible for specific mRNA codon recognition, and the 3' end, to which the tRNAs corresponding amino acid is attached (by aminoacyl-tRNA synthetases). tRNAs cope with the degeneracy of the genetic code in two manners: having more than one tRNA (with a specific anti-codon) for a particular amino acid; and 'wobble' base-pairing, i.e. permitting non-standard base-pairing at the 3rd anti-codon position.
Source: RNAcentral
GGGCGAUUAGCUCAGCUGGGAGAGCUCCUGCCUUACAAGCAGGAUGUCGGCGGUUCGAUCCCGUCAUCGCCCACCA